CUGCCGCCUCCUCAUCCCUCCAGUUCCACUGCCGCCGCCACCUCCUCCACCCCUGCCGGCCAUCGCACCCCCAUCCCCUCCACCACCUCCGCCGGCUACCGCGCCACCAUCCCCUCCACCUCCGCCGGCCGCCGCGCCCCCAUCCCCUCCAUCACCUCCACCGGCCGCCACGCCCCACCCCCCCCCCCCCCCCCCCCCCCGGCCCCCGCGCCCCACCCCCCCCCACUCCCUCCGCCGGCCGCCGCGCCCCCAUCCCCUCCAUCACCUCCACCGGCCGCCACGCCCCACCCCCUCCACCUCCGCCGGCCGCCGCGCCCCCAUCCCCUCCAUCACCUCCACCGGCCGCCACGCCCCACCCCCCCCCCCCCCCCCCCCACCCGCCGCGCCCCACCCUCUCCACCUCCACCGGCCGUUGCGCUCCUAUCCCCUCCGCCGGCCGUCGCCCCCCCGUCCCCUCCACCACCUCCGCCGGCCACCGCGCCACCAUCUCCUCCACCUCCGCCGGCCGCCGCGCCCCCAUCCCCUCCAUCACCUCCACCGGCCGCCACGCCCCACCCCCCCCCCCCCCCCCCCCCCUGCCGGCCAUCGCCCCCCCAUCCCCUCCACCACCUCUGCCGGCCGUUGCACCACCGUCUCCUCCACUUUGGCCAUUUCCGCAAGGAGUUAGUGCCGUGUUUGUUUGCUCUCACUGUUAAUUAGAUUUUUGUUUGUGAUGUGGUUGUGGUCGAAGGGUAGGUUUUUUUUGUUGCUGUUGGUGUGAAUUCUUGCUUUAUAAAUUCUUUGUACAAGUUAUUGAUGAAUAGAAACUGAUCCAAUAUAUACAUGGAUGCAUUUGUUGAUAUCUUGGAUCAUUAAAAAGCAAUGAAAUACAAUGCAUGAAUUAGGAAAUGGUUAAUUUUGUAGCUGCAAUAUAUUGCUUUUGAAAUUAACUAGCAGUGACUGGGCAUUCAGUCUUUUGGUUUUAAUUGCCCUAAACAAGGGCUUAUCAACCAAAUUUGACAACAAUAUCGAGCAUUGACUUCUUGUCUUUCCGAGCAGUUCAAUAUUUGUGAUGAUUUUGUCCAGAAGAGAUGGAAAUAAUGCGUCGCAUGUGCCCUAUGCAGCUGAGAGUAUGAAAAAAAUCUAACACCUUUUACAAUGUAUGGUUUCUUUGGCGAUUAUUUUACACUGUAUGGUUUCACAUGUACCUUUUUCUGGUUAGGGGAGAUUAUUUUUGGAGUGCUUCUAUAUAGUUUCUUUGGCUCUACCUUAGUGAAAGUACCUAUCAUCUCUUAUGGCAGAUAAUUAGUGAAGAAUCAUUAUUUUUUUUCUAUAUAUCCUUUAUCAAAGUUCCAAGUGAUGUAACAGAAUAUCCUUUUUUGAAUACUUGCUGAACAUGUUAAUUUGACAGUAAGGAAAAAAGUUGUAUAUAUUAAAAUUGAUCAAGGUUUGUACUGUCGUUGUUCCUCUUUUGUUCAUGAACCACCUUUUGGUCCAUCAUUUUGAAUCUUGGCACCGGUAACAAAACUAAUUUUUUGUCCUUGUUUUUUUUCCUCUCCCGUAUUUACAAAUCUUUGUGUACAGUGUAAAUCAUAAAAUAAUUAGUGCAUGUGUGGGUGAGGUAAUGGAGAAUGCAGGAAGCCAUGCACCUUAAUUGUCUACUAUUAAAGGUCAAGUAGUCACAAAAUUCCACCUUAUUUGUGGUAAAUAAUCACCUUUUUCAAUUAUUUUCAAUUCAUCUGGUGGUGUGAAGAAACGCCAAGGAGCCACUGCUGACCUGCUGAAGAUGCGGACAGGUAUAGCUUUUUGCACGCUAUUGCUAUAGUUCUGAUUAUUUUCAAUUAUUUUUAAUUUCAAUGUUUUUCCUAAGAUUUUUCAUUGAGUAGUUCUGAUUCGCACCUCCUUGCAAUCGCUAACAGAUAUGAGGCAUCUAACCAGGUAUGUAAAUCAAUUAAUUAAACUGGAAUCAAACCGGUUAGUACUCAACAAACUGAUUAGUCUAUCUGUGACAGGUUGUGCUUCCUUUUGUUACCAGCCUUUCUUAUUAUGGACAGCUGCUUGAUGGAAUUUUCAAUACGAUGGACAGCCUUUUCUAGGGCAGUACUACAUCACUUUGGUAAUUUCAAUACGGUUUUCGAAAUACUGUAUCAACAAUCCCAUAUUUGACCUUUACAACUUCAGGUAGAUCUCCUAAAAUCUAGGAUGUGAUCUUUAUAACUUCAUGAUAUACUUAGAUUAGUAUGCUGAAGUAUAUAUUAUUGCUCUUGGACCUUGGUUAGGACGUGAUCUUUGCAACUUCAUACUAAAUUCAUAUUACACCAUGUAUAGAAAUUAUCUGAAUUAGCACCAGAUUUGGAAUGCAUGUACCUUUAAAGUCUAGAUUGCUUCUUGAACAUGAGCUGAUUAUGAUCCUUUACAUGAUGAUACCGGUGAACAAUAUUUGUUUCAUGAUGGCAUUGCUAAGGUGAUGAUUCUUCUACUUGACAGUGGUUGUA
Molecule: long non-coding RNA, 2474 nt
Filed under: Oryza brachyantha (malo sina)
Lineage: Eukaryota; Viridiplantae; Streptophyta; Magnoliopsida; Poales; Poaceae
Description: long non-coding RNA (OBRA_LNC001016)
Source: RNAcentral